GCCCGGUUAGCUCAAUCGGUAGAGCGUGAGACUCUUAUGAGUACGCGAUCUCAAGGUUGCGGGUUCGACCCCCGCAUCGGGCU
Fusarium poae is the source of this 83-nucleotide non-coding RNA. Lineage: Eukaryota; Fungi; Ascomycota; Sordariomycetes; Hypocreales; Nectriaceae. The record is from Rfam.